This 514-nucleotide ribosomal RNA is filed under the name Entrophospora sp. RNAcentral describes it as "SSU rRNA". It matches the Rfam family "Eukaryotic small subunit ribosomal RNA", at positions 569 to 1078 of the family's 1831-position model. The record is from RNAcentral. RNAcentral also lists the same sequence under 1 other name. Lineage: Eukaryota; Fungi; Glomeromycota; Glomeromycetes; Entrophosporales; Entrophosporaceae.
AGCAGCCGCGGUAAUUCCAGCUCCAAUAGCGUAUAUUAAAGUUGUUGCAGUUAAAAAGCUCGUAGUUGAAUUUCGGGAUUGACACAUCGGUCGUGCCUUAAGGGGUAUGAACUGGUGUAGUCAAUUUCUCACCUUCUGGAGAACCGCGAUGCCCUUAAUUGGGUGUCACGGGGAACCAGGACCUUUACUUUGAAAAAAUUAGAGUGUUUAAAGCAGGCAUUUUGCUUGAAUACAUUAGCAUGGAAUAAUAAAAUAGGACGGCAUGAUUCUAUUUUGUUGGUUUCUAGGAUCACCGUAAUGAUUAAUAGGGAUAGUUGGGGGCAUUAGUAUUCAAUUGUCAGAGGUGAAAUUCUUGGAUUUAUUGAAGACUAACUACUGCGAAAGCAUUUGCCAAGGAUGUUUUCAUUAAUCAAGAACGAAAGUUAGGGGAUCGAAGACGAUCAGAUACCGUCGUAGUCUUAACCAUAAACUAUGCCGACUAGGAAUCAGACGAUGUUAAUUUUUUAAUGACUCG